CAGGGACCUGGAGGAGUAGAGAAGUCAGUUGCAGCACCACCUGCCGCCACUGCUCAACCAGCUGGUGGUUCGAAGAAGUCCAAGAAGUAAGGAGGUGAUCUAGCGAAGAAGUGUGAGCCAUGAAUUUAGAGAGAAACAUGUUCAAGUAGUUUUUUUGUCGAGCCAGCAGUCUGCUGUUUGUGGCCAAUAUGAACUUGUUUAAGUUUUUAAGGUUUCAUGAUUUUGUUCUCAGUUUCCAUGCUGUUUUGUUUA
Long non-coding RNA from Gossypium raimondii (Peruvian cotton), 252 nucleotides. RefSeq lists it as uncharacterized. The record is from RefSeq and is a predicted model, not a curated record. The transcript has 2 exons. NCBI's taxonomy places the organism in Eukaryota, Viridiplantae, Streptophyta, Magnoliopsida, Malvales, Malvaceae.